RNAcentral lists this unclassified non-coding RNA (317 nucleotides) under fungal sp. RNAcentral's name for it is "partial internal transcribed spacer region". The stretch from base 1 to 46 matches the Rfam family "Eukaryotic small subunit ribosomal RNA", at positions 1786 to 1831 of the family's 1831-position model. Lineage: Eukaryota; Fungi. The record is from RNAcentral.
AAGUCGUAACAAGGUAUCUGUAGGUGAACCUGCAGAUGGAUCAUUUUACGAUUUGGUUGGCCUCCGGAGUAAUUGUCACACACGUUAGUGUGUGGCACUUACGAUGUGUUUGGUACCAACCUAUUUUACCCCCCCACAAUGUUGUUUUAUAUUUAACUAUAUAAAAGCUCUUAAAACGAUGUAUUCUUUGCGCGCUCUGCGCAAUCAAACACUCACCAACAACAAACAAUCUAAUGAAAGUCAUUGAAAUUUCUCACAAUCUCAUGGCAAUCAAAACAAGUAUCCAACAACUCUUAACAACGGAUAUCUUGGUUCUC